This 1111-nucleotide long non-coding RNA is filed under the name Strigops habroptila (Kakapo). Its description in RNAcentral is "lncRNA (ENSSHBG00005014281.1)". Lineage: Eukaryota; Metazoa; Chordata; Aves; Psittaciformes; Psittacidae. The record is from RNAcentral.
AUUGUUCUGAGGCUGUAUCUUACGUAGUCAUGACCUGAAUACUUGAGUACCUUUCAAAGUAGUUUCUUUGCUUGGAUGGGGUUUUUUUCUUAGGCCAGUAAAGAGUCUGUUUAACUACUUUACCAUGUUACUUUUGGCAAGGAUGCAGAGCAGUAUUUCAAAAUGAUCUGUAUUUGGCAUUUUGAUCCUUAAUUCUGUACAGUUUAAUCCAUGCUGCAGUGAAGGAUGGGACGCAUACAGGUAGCAAGGUCUCUUUCCAGCCAGCUCCCUUUUGCAGCAUCGCCUGCGUUAAGGAUGUGCGUGUGUCUGAGCACACGGAGCAGGAGAGUGUGUGUGCACACCCUCAAAGAGGAAUAACAUAAAACCCAACACAGGGCCUGUACCUCAUGCUGAGCACUAGAAUUGAGUAUUCAUGGAAAGGAAUACAGCAGCUGUUCUGAUCUGAGCAACAUAAAGUUGUGUUUGCUGGGGUAAGAGUCUAACUUCUCCACACCAAUAAUCUUAAGGAAAGAAAACCAAGUUUCCUGGGCUGUUUCUGAGAACUAACUGAUCUCAAAUAUGAUCUGUUCUCUGCGAGCAAGCACAACCCGCUCCCCCAAAGCAACGCAGCCUCCCCUAAGCUUUAGAAAAGAGAUUUUCCUGUCAGCUGCUCAGCGCACAAUAAUUCUGAGGAAAAAUUAUUCCGAAUUCCCAGGUUUGUGGCAAGAACAAUAACAUGGAUCUACGGCUGCCUUCAUCAGGAAACUGCACACACCUGGAAUGUGCCUCUGCUGCAAUUAAUAACAAAUCAAUAUUAACAACUGCUCUACUUUUACAGGAGACGAAUACAUCUGAAAUACAUCAGGCUUAAGUUUUCCUUUUUCAUUCUGCUCCUGAGGUGGUGCUCAGUGUGCUCAGUUAUGGAGCGAGCCUGGCUCUUCCUUCUUGUGAUGCCGAGACACAAAAAGCUGAUGUACAGAUUCGUCUGUCUGAACAACCAAGAGCAGAUUUCGUUAUUUAUUUAUUUCAAGAUUCUACUUCUUGACCUCCAGCACAUCGGAGGGCUGCUGAAUUGCUUCUUUUAACACUUCAGUGCUUGAGGAAAAAUAGGACCGGUGCAGAGAAAAGAAAA